AGGGUCAUUGGAAACUGGGGAACUUGAGUGCAGAAGAGAAAAGCGGAAUUCCACGUGUAGCGGUGAAAUGCGUAGAGAUGUGGAGGAACACCAGUGGCGAAGGCGGCUUUUUGGUCUGUAACUGACGCUGAGGCGCGAAAGCGUGGGGAGCAAACAGGAUUAGAUACCCUGGUAGUCCACGCCGUAAACGAUGAGUGCUAAGUGUUAGAGGGUUUCCGCCCUUUAGUGCUGCAGCUAACGCAUUAAGCACUCCGCCCUGGGGAGUACGGUCGCCAGACUGAAACUCAAAGGAAUUGACG
RNAcentral lists this ribosomal RNA (299 nucleotides) under Bacillus sp. (in: firmicutes). Its description in RNAcentral is "Bacillus sp. (in: Bacteria) partial 16S ribosomal RNA". It matches the Rfam family "Bacterial small subunit ribosomal RNA", at positions 619 to 915 of the family's 1533-position model. The record is from RNAcentral. Lineage: Bacteria; Bacillati; Bacillota; Bacilli; Caryophanales; Bacillaceae.